Vitis riparia (riverbank grape) is the source of this 238-nucleotide long non-coding RNA. RefSeq lists it as uncharacterized. The transcript is spliced from 3 exons. The record is from RefSeq and is a predicted model, not a curated record. Lineage: Eukaryota; Viridiplantae; Streptophyta; Magnoliopsida; Vitales; Vitaceae.
UUGAAGACAUAGUUGGAAGAAGAAGAAGAAGACAUGUAGUACUAAGAGAAAGAAAGCUAAAAAGGACAUAAUUUGUUGUUAAUCGAAAGGUGGUUGUGUUGUACUUAUUUGCCGAGUUCUAUAUCAAGGAAAAAAAAUGAGUGAACGCAAUGUUGUUGAAGUUGUUCGAAAUCCAAAGAGGCCUAUUGGAGCUUGGAUACAUUACUAUAACGAUCAAUUGGCCAUGAUGAAAGAGAAG